Molecule: long non-coding RNA, 177 nt
Organism: Telopea speciosissima
Lineage: Eukaryota; Viridiplantae; Streptophyta; Magnoliopsida; Proteales; Proteaceae
Exons: 3
Source: RefSeq, a predicted model, not a curated record
CUUUGAGCAAGAACUUUGUUGCAAAAUCUCAAGUAGAAACGAGAAUAGGAAAGGGAGAUCGAUCCCAAUCUUGUGGAGCUAUAAGCACCGCUGAAACAGGGGAUGGGGACUGAGUUUAAGAUACUCAAGUAGGAAAGGAACAGGAAGAAGAGAAAGGAGAAGAGAAGAAGAAAAGAG